This 63-nucleotide transfer RNA is filed under the name Trichuris sp. 2 ARS-2017. Its description in RNAcentral is "tRNA-Gln". The record is from RNAcentral. Lineage: Eukaryota; Metazoa; Nematoda; Enoplea; Trichinellida; Trichuridae.
UGUGUUUUAGUAUUGACUAAUCAAAAAGUACGUAGAAAUUUGAAUUCUAAAGGAAAACCACAA